GCCGAAGUGGCGGAACGGCAGACGCGGCGGUCUCAAAAACCGUUGGGGGUCAUUCCCCAUGUGGGUUCGAGUCCCACCUUCGGCACCA
Molecule: transfer RNA, 88 nt
Filed under: Anaerolineae bacterium
Lineage: Bacteria; Bacillati; Chloroflexota; Anaerolineae
Description: tRNA-Leu
Rfam family: tRNA
About the family: Transfer RNA (tRNA) molecules are approximately 80 nucleotides in length.
Source: RNAcentral